GAUGAACGCUAGCGGCAGGCCUAAUACAUGCAAGUCGAGGGGCAGCAGUUCAGUUUUACUGAAGCUGGCGACCGGCGCACGGGUGCGUAACGCGUAUGCAACCUACCUUGUACUGGGGGAUAGCCCGGAGAAAUUCGGAUUAAUACCCCAUGGUACCACGAGACAACCUUGUUUUGUGUUUAAAGAUUUAUCGGUACAGGAUGGGCAUGCGUCUGAUUAGUUAGUUGGUGAGGUAACGGCUCACCAAGACGAUGAUCAGUAGGGGUUCUGAGAGGAUGAUCCCCCACACUGGAACUGAGACACGGUCCAGACUCCUACGGGAGGCAGCAGUAGGGAAUAUUGGUCAAUGGGCGAGAGCCUGAACCAGCCAUGCCGCGUGCAGGAAGACGGCCUUCUGGGUUGUAAACUGCUUUUAUCAGGGAACAAAUCGCCCAUGCGUGGGUAGUUGCGUGUACCUGAAGAAUAAGCACCGGCUAACUCCGUGCCAGCCGCCGCCGUAACAC
This 503-nucleotide ribosomal RNA is filed under the name uncultured bacterium. RNAcentral's name for it is "bacterial SSU rRNA". It matches the Rfam family "Bacterial small subunit ribosomal RNA", at positions 28 to 526 of the family's 1533-position model. The record is from RNAcentral.